CGGUGUUUAACUGGCGUGAUGUGGGACGUCCUACCGGUGGGCUUAGCCUCGCGAGGGGCGGCCCAACUAAUAUCCCGUCGCGGUGCUCUUUACUGAGUGUCGAGUCGGGCCGGUACGUUUACUUUGACAAUAGAGUGCUUAAAGCAGGCUAUCCUCGCCUGAAUACUGCGUGCAUGGAAUAAUGGAAUAGGACUCGGUCUAUUUGUUGGUUUUCGGAACCCCGAGGUAAUGAUUAAUAGGGACAGAUGGGGGCAUUCGUAUUGCGACGUUAGAGGUGAAAUUCUUGGAUCGUCGCAAGACGGACAGAAGCGAAAGCAUUUGCCAAAAAUGUUUUCAUUAAUCAAGAACGAAAGUUAGAGGUUCGAAGGCGAUCAGAUACCGCCCUAGUUCUAACCAUAAACGAUGCCAGCUAGCGAUCCGCCGAAGUUCCUCCGAUGACUCGGCGGGCAGCUUCCGGGAAACCAAAGCUUUUGGGUUCCGGGGGAAGUAUGGUUGCAAAGCUGAAACUUAAAGGAAUUGACGGAAGGGCACCACCAGGAGUGGAGCCUGCGGCUUAAUUUGACUCAACACGGGGAAACUCACCAGGUCCAGACAUAACUAGGAUUGACAGAUUGAUAGCUCUUUCAUGAUUUUAUGGGUGGUGGUGCAUGGCCGUUCUUAGUUGGUGGAGUGAUUUGUCUGGUUAAUUCCGAUAACGAACGAGACCUUAACCUGCUAAAUAGCCAGGCCGGCUUCGGCUGGUCUCUGGCUUCUUAGAGGGACUGUCAG
RNAcentral lists this ribosomal RNA (768 nucleotides) under uncultured eukaryote. RNAcentral describes it as "SSU rRNA". It matches the Rfam family "Eukaryotic small subunit ribosomal RNA", at positions 629 to 1426 of the family's 1831-position model. The record is from RNAcentral.